CAUCCAUCCUAUGUUGAUACCUGCUCCUCGGAGGACCUGAAUUAACACAACAAUGAACUUUCUGAAAGUAUCUUUGUUUGCAUUUGAUUGUGCAUGAGGUUCUUUAUGAGGGAGGCUGGUGAUGUGAGAUGGAAAAAGCUUCAUUAGGAGCUGGGGCUUGGCUCUGGCUCCUCCCAGCUACGUGGUCUUGACAUUUAGCCUUGCUCCCUAGUUAGACCUCAGCUUCUUUAUCAGAAAAAUGGGGAUAAUAAAUUACCUGCAUCAUAAAGUUAUUGUGGAGAUUAAGAAGAUAGUGAAUUCAAGAUCUCAGUGCACAUAACAAUAGCUGCUAUUUACUGAGUGCUUUCCAUGUGCUUUUGAUAUAACUCACUUAAUCCUAGCAAUUUCCAUAUGAGAUAUGUACUUCACUCGCAAGAAAACCAAGGCAUAGAGUGGCUAAGAGGUAGAGCUAGAAUUUGAACCCUUCAGAGCCCAGAGCUUCAGAGCUCAGGCUCUUUAACUACCACCCUAUGAUUUUCCCCAAAUAGCACAUGCUCGGGAAAUGACUGUUGGGAUUCCAUCAAUAAAUCCAAUAUGUUUUUUUCCACUUUCUACCCCUGUGACUGUGGCAAGGGUCUUCAACUGAAGACAAUCUUGUCAUUUUGUGAAGGUGAAGUGAGGAAAGGGAUGUAAAACAGCUGUGGUUGGUGCUUAGUAGCUGUUCACCUGAAUUUCAGCUAGGAUUAAAAUUACAAUUAUUAUUAGCUUUGAAAUGCUGAUUCCUCUUUCUUUGUAUACUUAAUGGGUACAGUAAAGGAGCAAUGGGUUGUUUGUUCCCAGCUUUCAGAUGUGAUGUCUAAAUGAGAAUUGAAAUAAACCAUGAAGGAACUGAGUUGCAAACACUUCUCUGAUGACUACAGCAGCUCAACCUACUGCCUGCCCAGGGCCAUCAAUAAUAAAUGUCCACAGACAGCUGAAGGACAUUAAAGACAGAUGGUGAUGGAUCAGAGCACUCAUCAGCCACUGGGUGUAGACUGUAUAAAAAGCUGAGCCCAGAGGCCACCAUGAUCAACCUGCAACCUGGCAAGAAAUGGACUCAACUCCACAGACAGCAGUUGUCAGGGAGCCCAGACAUGUAAGGAUGCGGCAAAGGCCCUCGCCAGAUGCUGAAUGCGGAUGCCGUCAUCUUGGACUUCCUAGCUUCCAGAACGGUGAGAAAUACAUUUCUAUUGUUUAUAAAUUACUCAGUCCAUGGAAUGCUGUUGUAGCAGCACAAAUGAACUAAGAGACCUGGCAGAUUACAGACCUCAUUUUAAUUUUAAAAACAGAAAUUAGGAUGAGCUAAUAUAUUAAUUUCCUCUGACUGCUCUAACAAAUUACCAUAACUUUGAUAGCUUAAAACAACCCGAAUUUAUUAUCUUACAGUUCUGGAGAUCAGAGUUUGAUAUGGGUCAAACGAGGCUAAAAUCAGGGUCUCAUCUGGCUUCAUUUUGUCCUGGAGGCUCUGGAGGAGACUCUGUUUCCUUGCCUUUUCCAGCUCCGAGAGGCUGCCUGUAUUCCUGUAAUUCCUCGUAAUUAUGUUGAGCCUACUCAGAUAAUCUAGGAAAAUCUCCUCAUCUCAAGAUCCUUAAUUCAAUGACAUCUGCAAAGUCUCUUUUGCCAUGAAAAGAAAUAUAUAUUGAUAGGUUUUGGGGAUUAGGGCACGGAUAACUUUGGGGGAGGCAGAUUAUUCUACAGGUAAAAACUUUUUGCCAUUUACAUAAUCUUUAAAAAAAGAUUUGAUUAAUUAUGCAAAUGUUUACAACAUACAGAGGAAGUACAAAAAAUGAUGUCUUUCACCAAAAGCAAACAGCUAACAUUUGUCAUAUAUGUUUGGCUCACAACUUUUGGAAAUAAAACGUUGCAAAUACAGCUAAAUCCCCAACUCAUUUCUCAUUUCCUUCCUUCUUACCUUUCCUCAACAGUAUCCACUAUUAAGGCUAAUGGGAAUUAUUGUGAUGAAUGUAUUUUUACCAUUUCUACUGCUAGGACUCAGAAAACAAUACCCUGAAAUGCAGACCUCAGAAGCAGCUUCAGAGGCAAAAGUUUUUCUCCGACCUUCUCCUGCUCUCCUGUCUCUCAGUUCCAUUCUCCCCUGAGGCUAGGCAGAGAAAUUAGAAUCUCUCUUCCCCAAGGCAGGUCAUAGAAACCAGAACCCCUCUUCCCAAAGCCAGCCAUAAAACUUAAAAAUGUUACUUUAACUUUUCCUCCACCUGUCUGUGUAAAAACGGACCAUGAAGAAAUUAUCUGACCUACGUUAUUUGACUGUAGGUCUUAAGAGCCCCAUUCGAGAGAGGGUUCUGCCCCACGCCCAGAAGGAAGGAGUGCAUGCUCUGAGAGGCUGAGAAGAAUCUAGACAGACGGGCCUUGCUGGAUUUCCUCACUCAGUCAGCUAUUAGCAUUAGAUCAUACCUUUUCUGUCCAAUCAUAUUUCUACAUGGUUGUUGAACUUAAGCAUAAAAAUGGACAAUUUCCCCUGUAGCUUUGAGUCUCUGUUCUGAAGGCUCCCGUGUAUACACUAAAUAAUACACUAAAUAAAUAUGUAUGUCCAUUCUCUUAUUAAUCUCCCUCUUGUCAGUGAUUUUCAGUAAACCUUUAGAAGGUAAAGGAGAAUUUUCCCUUGGCCCUGAUACUACAACAAUAGUAUAUACACUAUUGUGUGUUUUUUAAAUUUAGAUAAAUGGUGAAAUACUGUUCAUUUCUUUUGCUGUUUGCUUUUAUGUUUUGGAAAUGUACCUACGUUGGUACCAUACUGAUCUACUUCCAGCCUCCACUUUAUUCAGAGACCUCAGAUUAUUUAUCUAUUUUUCUACUGAUGGGUAGUUUCCACUUACAUGCUAUGAAAUAACAGAGCUGCACUGACACCCGUGGAUAUGUCCCUUUUGUGCAAAUGUGGAUUUCUCUAAAGGAGAAUGUACUGAGAGAUGCUACAUCACUCUCUGAAGUGGCCACUUGGACCAAUUAGCAUCUCCAGUGAUGGUACAGCGUGCCCAUUCCUCUACGUCCUCACCAACACUAGGUAUGAGCAUGCUUAUUAAUGGUCCUAAGCUGACGUAAGUGAUGUGUGUGUAUGUCACUGCUGUUUCAUUUUGAAAUGUGCUUAUUUGUGUGAGAGGUUGAGAAUAUUUUCAUGUUGACGGAUCAUGAAAUAUUCCCCCUCAAGGAAUUUCCUAUUUAUAUUAUUUUCCCCAUCUUUCUAUUGAGUUUGUCUUUUAAAUAGGGAUUCUUUUUACAUUCUGGUUACUGAUAUUUUGUUAAUUACAUGGAUUGUAAAAUCUGUUCUUAUCUUUUCAUGUUUUUUCCUGCUUCUUGGCAAGUGAGUUUAUACUGUUAAUUAGAAAACUUUAUCACACUUUUUAUUUGUGACUUGUACUUUUCCUAUCAUGAAAAAAGGUUUUCUUCAAAUCGGUUCCUAUUCUGUUCUCAUAAAGAUAUUUGCCCAUGUUUUCUUCUAACAGUUCUAUAGUUUUGUUUUUGACAUUCAUAUUUUUACAUUAUAGAAUUAUUUUUAAUAUGAUGGCAGAUAAUGAUCAAAUGUUAUCUUCUUCUGAAAAUGUGCUAGAAUUACUUGUUUGGUCUAUUACCUUCUGCUAAUUUUAAAGCUGCCUCUGUCAUAUACCAAGCUUGCAUCUAUAUGUGGCUCAGUGUCCAGGCUGCCUGACAUCCCAGGACAAUGCUGCACUGAUUUACUCUCUACAGCUCCAUGGUAAGUGAUAUGGUUAGGCUAUGUGUCACCACCCAAAUCUCAUCUUGAAUUAUAAUCCCCAUAAUCCCCAUGUGUCAAGGGAGAGACAAGAUGGAGGUAAUUGGCUCAUGGGGGCAGUUUCUCCCAAGCUGUUGUCAUGAUAUUCAAUGAGUUCUCAUGAAAUCUGAUGGUUUUUGUAAGUGUUUGGUAGUUCCUCCUGCAUUCAUUCUCCUUCCUGCUGUCUUGUGAAGAAGGUGCCUUGCUUCCCCUUCACCCUCUGCCAUGAUUGUAAGUUUCCUGAGGCUUCCUCAGACAUGCUGAACUGUGAGUUAAUUAAACCAUUUUCCUUUAUAAAUUACCCAGUCUCUGGCAGUCUUUAUACCAGUGUGAAAAUGAACUAACACAGUAAGCUUUGCUAUCUAAUAAGAAAAAUUUUGUUCCCCAUCCCAGCUUUCUCCCUUACCACACAUAUGGCCACUUCCUUUAAAUUUGUCUGGGAAUUUUUUCACUCUUUACUCUUACAUAUGGCUUUAGGAUCAGCUUGUCCAAUUCUGAAAAAAGUCUUGUUAGGACUUUUAUUAGACUAACAAUGAAAGUGCAGAAGUGAUAUGUCUUCUUUAUAAUAUUAAAUCUUCCUGCCAAUGAACUGGUUUUUAUAUAUCUUUCUAAAUAUUUCAGUAAAGUUUUUUUUUUUAAAUUUUGUUGUAUCUGCAAAUGUCUGUUACAAAUAUCAAGUUUAGUGUUUUUUAAAAUUACAUUUUAUAAUUAAUAGUUCCUAGGAAAUAAGAACAGUAUUCAUUUUUAUAUUGAUCUAUGCAGUCACCAUUAGAACUGUCCUAUUUCUCAGUAGCUUUUCUGUAGCUCCACUGGAAAUUUUUGUGUCAACAAAAUUUUGUCUAUAAUAACAGCAAAAUAAAAUAACAGCAAUUUUGUUUCUGUCUUUUUAAGUCUUAUACAUUUUAUUUAUUUUUCUUAUUUUACUGCACUGAUUUAAAAUCUUUUUUUUUCAAUGUUGAAUAGAAGCAGUGAUGAAAGCAAGGAAAAUUUUAUUCCUAACUUCAGAGGGAAUAUAUGCAAUGUUGCACUCUUCAGGUAUGAUAUUUCUGUACAUUUUAGCAGAGACUCUUCAUCAGGUAAUGCUGUUCUUUUCUAUUUUUAGAUUGCUGUUCUUUUAAUGAAUGGAUGUUGAAUUUUGGGGAAAAAAACAACUUUUUUUUUUUCCUUUUACAUUUGAGAUGCAGAGCAGUAGCGUCCUUAGAGAAUAAACUCUGGAGUCAAUGCCUGGACCUUAAUGAACAGUGGAUGACAUGUUAUUUUCUUUUUUCUUCUUUUAACUUUUAUUUUAAGCUCAGGGGUACAAGUGCAGGUUUUUUACAUAGGUAAAGUUGUGUCAUGGGGGUUUGUUGUACAGAUUAUUUUGUCACCCAGGUAUUAAGCCUGGUACUCAUUGUUUUUCCUCAUCCUCUCCCUCCUCCCAUCCUCUACCCUCCAACAAGCCCCAGUGUGUGUUGUUCCCCUCUAUGUGUACAUGAGUUCUCAUCAUUUGGUUCCCACUUGUAAGUGAGAACAUGCAGUGUUUGGUUUUCUGUUCCUAUAUUAGUUUGCUAAGGAUAAUGGCCUCCAGCUCCACCUAUGUUCCUGCAAAGGACAUGAUCUCAUUUUUUAUGGCUUCAUAGUAUUCCAUGAUGUAUAUGUACCACAUUUCCUUUAUCCAUUCUGUCAUUGAUGGGCAUUUAGGUUGAUUUCAUGACUUUGUUGUUAUGAAUAGUGCUGCAAUGAACAUACACAUGCAUGUGUCUUUAUGAUAGAACAAUUUACAUUCUUUGGGGUAUAUACCCAGCAAUGGGAUUGCUGGGUCAAAUGUUAUUGCUGACAUUAGGUCUUUGAGGAAGUGCCACACGGUUUUCCACUAUGGUUAAACUAAUUUACACUCACACCAACAGUGUAUAUGUGUUCCUGACAGAUUCUUUUCAAGGGCAUGCAGUUCUCACACUUGUUGGUGUCAGCACUUCUUACAGUCUUAAGAUUGAAGAUUACAAAGAGCUUUUGUUCUUGUGGAUUAUGUAUCUAUCAAUGUUUAUCAUGUUACAAAUUAAAGCUGAUAUUGUAAAAUAUUGAUUCAUUUUAAUACAACAAUAAUAAACUCAAUCCAUGUUAAGUAACAUAUUUUUGUAUGAAAAGUAUCAUAUUCUCCAGAACAAAAUGAAAUGGAGUCUGUCUGUUGAGUGACAUAUUAAACUCAUCCCACCUAUCUUCAAGCCUAAUACUACUUCUUACCUUCCAGCCUUCAAGCGAUUGUAAUCGUAUGUUAUACUUCCACCUAUGUUAUAAACCACACAAUAUAUUAUUAUUUUUGCUUUAAGCAGUAAUUUUUAAAAAUAAUUUGUAAAAAUAACAAAAAGCUAUUUAAAUAUAGCUACAUAUAUGCAAGCCCAAAUCUGACUUCAAGCUUUGAUGUGGGGGGAACUUUUUAGCUUAUUUAUUCACUUAUGCAUUAGUCAUGAUUGCUGCAUCUGCAGAAACUCACGUGAAAAUAAUGUGCUAAAUUGUCAAAUGUUUGGGGUGGCUUCUACUGUUGGACCAUACACAACCUUCACAUUUCAGAUAUUCUUACUUUAGGGACUAUUGAGCAAGCAGAGAAGAAAGCCUUACUAUGCACUGUUUUUAUUAAUUCUCUUCCAAUUGCUUUCUUUUCCUGCCCUUCCAGUUGUAGUUAAACAGCGGGGAGAACAGAGUUGUCCUGCUGGGGCAGUGGUUCACAGCUCCAUGGGGCCCCUAGAGACAGAGCACUACGGAAGGGAGCCCCAUUCCCAAGCAUGGUGUCCAAUACACUGAAAGAAUAACUGGGCUCAGUAAUGCACCUAGAGACUCAGAUUCCAGACCUGCCCACUUGCUUUACUAUCCAAAACAACCAUGACACAUGACUUCUCUGGCGGGGUGUUGGCCAAGACAAACUGAACUAUAGAAGAUCCUUGACUUGCCAACGUUCAAAUGAUGAACUUUCAAAAAUAGCGAAACUGGCUGCAGAGCAAAAGCUUUUCAGCUCUGCACAACACCAACAGAUGGCGCUAAGUGUCACCCUUGUGGAGAGCAGAGGGACCUCGGAAGGGCCUUUGGAAAUCUAAUCUGGUUUUGAGUUCUUGGUGGGAAAAUGCACCUUUAAGUUGGGGGAGUUUGAAGACGUUGCCAAGACACGUGCUGCAGCAUUUGAUCUUUUCUGCCGCACUGGCUUCUGCAAUUAACAUGCUUUCACCAGUGAAACUCAGGUUGCGGGGAGAGCAUUCUUCCAGGUUCAUGCCUGUUGUCAUGGAGUAAUUAUAAUUCAUGUCUCCGUUCACAGUGUCCUGGUUUGUAGAAUAAAAUAUCUGGUCCACCCACCCA
Molecule: long non-coding RNA, 7084 nt
Organism: Homo sapiens (human)
Lineage: Eukaryota; Metazoa; Chordata; Mammalia; Primates; Hominidae
Product: long independently transcribed non-coding RNA 2930
Exons: 5
Source: RefSeq, a predicted model, not a curated record